RNAcentral lists this ribosomal RNA (633 nucleotides) under Scirtidae sp. UPOL RK0161. RNAcentral describes it as "eukaryotic LSU rRNA". It matches the Rfam family "Eukaryotic large subunit ribosomal RNA", at positions 670 to 1259 of the family's 3401-position model. The record is from RNAcentral. Lineage: Eukaryota; Metazoa; Arthropoda; Insecta; Coleoptera; Scirtidae.
GGAGUCUAGCAUGCGCGCGAGUCAUCGGGAAUUAAUAAACCCGUAGGCGCAGUGAAAGCGAAAAGCAGCCUCGCGCUGCUUGAGGGAGGAUGGGCCGCCGUUCGCGACGGCCCCGCACUCCCGGGGCGUCUCGCGCUCAUCGCGAGCUGAGGCGCACCUAGAGCGUGCACGCUGGGACCCGAAAGAUGGUGAACUAUGCCUGGUCAGGACGAAGUCAGGGGAAACCCUGAUGGAGGUCCGUAGCGAUUCUGACGUGCAAAUCGAUCGUCGGAACUGGGUAUAGGGGCGAAAGACUAAUCGAACCAUCUAGUAGCUGGUUCCCUCCGAAGUUUCCCUCAGGAUAGCUGGCGCUCAUUGCGUUCGAGUCUCAUCCGGUAAAGCGAAUGAUUAGAGGCAUUGGGGUCGAAACGGCCUCAACCUAUUCUCAAACUUUAAAUGGGUGAGAUCUCCGGCCUGCUCGAUCAAGCAUUGUGAGGCCGGAGAUCGGAUCAGAGUGCCAAGUGGGCCACUUUUGGUAAGCAGAACUGGCGCUGUGGGAUGAACCAAACGCAGAGUUAAAGCGCCAAAAUCGACGCUAAUGGGACACCAUGAAAGGCGUUGGUAACUUAAGACAGCAGGACGGUGGCCAUGGAA